This 253-nucleotide ribosomal RNA is filed under the name uncultured bacterium. Its description in RNAcentral is "partial 16S ribosomal RNA". It matches the Rfam family "Bacterial small subunit ribosomal RNA", at positions 524 to 776 of the family's 1533-position model. The record is from RNAcentral.
UACAGAGGGGGCAAGCGUUGUUCGGAAUUACUGGGCGUAAAGGGCGCGUAGGCGGUUUUCUAAGUUUGGUGUGAAAUCUCCCGGCUUAACUGGGAGGGUGCGCCGAAGACUGGAAGGCUUGAGUAUGGGAGAGGUAAGCGGAAUUCCUGGUGUAGCGGUGAAAUGCGUAGAUAUCAGGAGGAACACCUGCGGUGUAGACGGCUUACUGGACCAUCACUGACGCUGAGGCACGAAAGCGUGGGUAGCAAACAGG